This 180-nucleotide microRNA precursor is filed under the name Oryza punctata. RNAcentral describes it as "MIR812 microRNA precursor family". It matches the Rfam family "MIR812 microRNA precursor family". Lineage: Eukaryota; Viridiplantae; Streptophyta; Magnoliopsida; Poales; Poaceae. The record is from Rfam by way of RNAcentral.
AUUAAGUGUAGUUACAAGUUUCCGUGUCCGAUUUUAAUCUAUUAUCUUAUUUAAAUUUUUUUAUGAUUAAUAAAACAUAAAUAGUACUCUAUACGUGAUUUAUAUUGUUUCUUUUUUUAAAAGAAAUUAAAUAUGACGGAUGAUAAAAGUUAGAUACGAAAACUUAUGAUUACAUUUAAA